RNAcentral lists this transfer RNA (75 nucleotides) under Chloroflexota bacterium. RNAcentral's name for it is "Chloroflexi bacterium (groundwater metagenome) tRNA-Ala". It matches the Rfam family "tRNA". From Rfam's summary of the family: Transfer RNA (tRNA) molecules are approximately 80 nucleotides in length. Their secondary structure includes four short double-helical elements and three loops (D, anti-codon, and T loops). Lineage: Bacteria; Bacillati; Chloroflexota. The record is from RNAcentral. RNAcentral also lists the same sequence under 1 other name.
GGGGCUGUAGCUCAGUGGGAGAGCACCUGCUUUGCACGCAGGGGGUCAGGGGUUCGAAUCCCCUCAGCUCCACCA